CGCACGGGUGAGUAACACGUAUGCAACCUGCCUGCCACAGCCGGAUAAUCGGGAGAAAUUCCGUCUAAUACGGCAUAAUGCAUCGACGGGACAUCCUGUUGGUGCCAAAGGUUGAUUCCGGUGGCGGAUGGGCAUGCGUCGCAUUAGUUAGUUGGCGGUGUAACGGACCACCAAGACGACGAUGCGUGGGGGUUCUGAGAGGAAGGUCCCCCACACUGGUACUGAGACACGGACCAGACUCCUACGGAAGGCAGCAG
This 257-nucleotide ribosomal RNA is filed under the name uncultured bacterium. RNAcentral's name for it is "partial 16S ribosomal RNA". It matches the Rfam family "Bacterial small subunit ribosomal RNA", at positions 99 to 354 of the family's 1533-position model. The record is from RNAcentral.